This 72-nucleotide transfer RNA is filed under the name Pangasius djambal. RNAcentral's name for it is "tRNA-Glu". It matches the Rfam family "tRNA". Rfam says of the family: Transfer RNA (tRNA) molecules are approximately 80 nucleotides in length. Lineage: Eukaryota; Metazoa; Chordata; Actinopteri; Siluriformes; Pangasiidae. The record is from RNAcentral.
UCCCUGGAGGACUAGUGGUUAGGCCAUGGUGCUCUCACUGCUGCAGCCUGGGUUCGAGUCUCAGCCAGGGAG